GAUAAAUUUAGCUUUUUGAAAAGCUUCCUACCUGGCCUUUAUUUUUCUCAUGUCGUUUCAGACCAGUGAAAAUGUAACCACUAGCAUCUGUCCUGGGCUUGCUUUUGAGACACACUAACCUAUCCAUCUUUUUCAUUCUAGAAAAUUCUCACCCAUCCUUCAAGAUCAGUUCUUGAGUGAAGUACUUGCUGACUCCUGAGGCAGAGAAAGAUGACUAAAACAUGCUUAGGACAUCUGGGCAGCUGUACUGAGAUCCCAGCAUGUGGCAAUCCAGCCAUUACAGGAGCUGCACUACUGAAGCACAGGUGAAAAUGCAGGUAGGGUGAAGAAGAGCAGGAUGUUUCAUUUUUGUCAAGCGUCACCUGAUUCAAAAUGUAGCCACUGAAAAGAAGCAAUCGUUUUUGGCCUGCGUCUCUGAGGAUAAGACAGUGCAUGGGUGAUGGAUGCAGCCCAGGUGGGAGCUGUCUGCAAAUAACCCAGCUGCUUCCUGCGGCCCUGGUCAUCCUCCUGCCCUCAGCUGCUCCCAUGGAGGCCACCUACCCCCCUAACACUGAGCUGCUCACCUAGUCCAGCCACCAGCGAUGGCCCCUGGCCUUUGACAUGUCUGUUCUCUCCUCUCUCACUCCACCGCCACUGGCUUCCAGGGAUCUCCAGCCUGUAUAGAAACUUCUCACUACUCUCUGCCCUCGCCCUUUUAGCAGGCUCCUUAUGCUGCUGACUCCACCUCCCAGGCAAAGCAUUCUAAUUUAAUUCUUUACAAGUAUUCUCCCUCCUGAAGUGCUGGGCUCCACCAUGGGGGUGAGUCAGGGCACGUCACCCACAGCUUUCCAGACACCCCGGGCCCAGGGCCCGUCCUGCUGUGAGCAUGGCUCCUUCAGCCUUCUUCCUUCUUCGCCUGUGGGGAGUUAGACAUUCCCGAACCUCGUGCUCAAUCCCUGCCUCUGUCGGGGCCUGCUAAGCCCAUAAGACAUAUCUGCAUGUGUCAGAAUAUGUGCAAGCUUUCGACAGGAUUCCAGUUUUUCCCCAUAGCGCUUUUGGCAAAUAAAGGGUGUGGCUCAACAGCUGGUCUGAUGUCCCUUAACCUCCCCCACACCAGCACAACAGGACUGUCUCUGUGUUCGCAUUCCAGCAUAUCUGGGUCUCAGCCUUGACACAAUCAGACACCAUUGCUGAAGUUUUUAUGUUUAUAUGACAGAAGAAACUGUCACCCCCGCCCUGCCCCCCGCCCCCACCCAUCUGUUCUAAGAAAGAGCUCCAAGGUCUUGAGACCACACGCAGGGGAUGGGCAAGCUGACAUUAACGGGGAAUGAGGUCUUUCUGUGAUUCCAGCAGCCUCAGGAGGAGAACGUCAGAAACCGAAAGCUCCUCUGCCCAGGGAUGGGGACCGGCUGACUUCAAGAGCAGAACAGGUGCCUGGCUAGUGGGGAAAUUCCCCGAUGUGGACUUAGACUCUAGCGUCUCCAGAGAACAUAACCAACAUUUGUCUUUAAGAGAUGUGUUUGUUUGAGUAGAUCAGCUAUGAAAAUACCCAGCCGGCCUGCAGCCCUCCAGGCAGAUGCUGAAAAGGAAACCCGACUGGGGGAUGCCUGGUCCCCCAGAGAGCUGCGUUGUUUCCUCCCACCGAGGCCUUUGGAUCCGGCCACAGCAAGCAUCCCUGGGCACCUGGCUGAAGCUGGAAACUCGGGAUAAGAAUAGAAGCCCUGGAAGGGAAGAAGAACCGAGGAGUGAGCUUGCCCUGAGAACAGCACAUUGCACUCUCACCUCCUUUGCAGUUAAGUGUGAAAUAGUGCCAAUAGAGUGUGAAAGAAAAGAAAGAAGAUGGUUCACCUCCCAAAGAAGGGGAUUCCCCACUGCUGUGUCCCUUCUAUCAACUUGAUACAAAAAAACACAAUGGCCCCGGGAACCACGUGUUGAAGAUGAGAGAGCUAAAAGAUGGAAAGAGACUGGAGCCUUGAGUCACCACCUGGAGGAAAACUACCCACCCAUCAGGAAUUUCUACUACACAUUUGGGAGUUUUUGGGUUACAGCAGCUACUUUAACUAAAACACCCAGAGACAAGAGCUAUUAUUGCACAAAUUGGUUAAGUUACCUUUUUGUAUGUUUGGGUCCUCUCUGUUCGAUGAGACUGCACGUUCCUUUGAAGCACAUCUAUUUAAAAUUCUUAUAUCCCCAGAGAGCCUAGCAGAGAGUAUGCACCGAGUGAGCCUUCAGUAAAUGCUGGGUAAAUAAGCUCCUAAUGGAUGAAACUGGGUCUUCGAAGUUUGUUCCGACCAGUACUUAGUAUAGGAUUUUGUGCUGUUGGUCACUUUUCAUAAAGGUUCUUGCUAUUAAGGAACUUGACAUCCAAUGUACUCAUAGAGAGUAGAAAUUCAGGGGAAACAAAUAGAAGAGAUAUGUCCAAAAAUCCAUUUAAAAUUUCAUUGACAGAUAUUUAUCUCUUUAAUCUUGGAAGUUGUUGCAUGUAAGGGAAGGUUCAGUAGAAUGAAAACAGGACUGUAAGCUGGGAGGAGAUUUGGGGUCUCUUGGCCAACUCUGCCACAAAUUGUGUUACCUUCAACUUCCCUGCCUGUAAAAUGAAGUCAUUGGUCCCUAAAAUGAAAUUUGGACUAACGGCAAAUUAGCUAGCAUUUGAUUAUACAUCGAUAGGUUCCCCAUGUGAUUUUAACGCGCAAAUCAGAUUUUGGAAUCAUUAGGUAGGUGAUCUUAUCUUAUGAGUCUAUCUUUUUCAACAUGGAAAAAUAAAUUCGUUUUGCUGACCGAA
Pongo pygmaeus (Bornean orangutan) is the source of this 2761-nucleotide long non-coding RNA. RefSeq lists it as uncharacterized. The transcript is spliced from 4 exons. Lineage: Eukaryota; Metazoa; Chordata; Mammalia; Primates; Hominidae. The record is from RefSeq and is a predicted model, not a curated record.